RNAcentral lists this ribosomal RNA (255 nucleotides) under uncultured bacterium. Its description in RNAcentral is "partial 16S ribosomal RNA". It matches the Rfam family "Bacterial small subunit ribosomal RNA", at positions 524 to 776 of the family's 1533-position model. The record is from RNAcentral.
UACGGGGGGGGGCAAGCGUUGUUCGGAAUUACUGGGCGUAAAGGGCUCGUAGGUGGCCAACUAAGUCGGACGUGAAAUCCCUCAGCUUAACUGGGGAACUGCGUCCGAUACUGGAUGGCUUGAGUUUGGGAGAGGGAUGCGGAAUUCCAGGUGUAGCGGUGAAAUGCGUAGAUAUCUGGAGGAACACCGGUGGCGAAGGCGGCAUCCUGGACCGGCAUUGACGCUGAGGCGCGAAAGCCAGGGGGAGCAAACGGG